UAAAAUUAUGCUAGCAUUGACGAUUGACAUAUGUUUCAUCCUUGCAAUAUAUAUUUUUUUAAUUUCUGAGAAACAAUAAUGAUGAAAAUUUAACCUCCAUUUUAACUGAGAACAACCAUGUUCUAUUCUAAAUUGCAAGUUAGAUCUUUACAAUUUGAUUAGCAUCACAUCCCUUAUCCAUCCGAUCAACUCUCUUCCUAUGUUCACAUGCCGCGCCCACCAGUCCCAUUUUAUCUUCUUCGCAACUUUCUACCUUUGACUUC
Molecule: long non-coding RNA, 263 nt
Filed under: Phoenix dactylifera (date palm)
Lineage: Eukaryota; Viridiplantae; Streptophyta; Magnoliopsida; Arecales; Arecaceae
Description: long non-coding RNA (PDAC_LNC020091)
Source: RNAcentral